RNAcentral lists this ribosomal RNA (555 nucleotides) under Triticum aestivum (bread wheat). Its description in RNAcentral is "partial small subunit ribosomal RNA". Lineage: Eukaryota; Viridiplantae; Streptophyta; Magnoliopsida; Poales; Poaceae. The record is from RNAcentral.
AUGUCUAAGUCAGUUAAUGAGGGAAGCUUGAACGGGGUGAGCAUUUGUCGGGGUGCACCGGAGAUUUCUCACCUCCUAUUUGCGGAUGACACCAUGCUGUUUUUUGAAGCUUCAGGCCAGCAGGCGAAUGUUGUUAAAGGCUUGUUGAACACUUAUUCCUCGGCGACGGGUCAACUCAUAAACCCCGAGAAGUGUUCCAUCCUUUUUUCUGACAAUUGCGAAGGGUCAAUUGCGGAGGAGAUCAAGAAUAUAUUGGAGGUAACACAGCAAGUGUUUGAACCAAAAUACCUUGGCCUACCGGUUCGUGAAGGAAGAGUCCAUAAGGGGCAAUUUGAGACAUUGCAAGAUAGACUGAGGAAAAGACUUAUUGAUUGGAGUGAACAAUACGUAUUGGUUGGAAAUAAAGAGAUUCUCAUUAAGGCUGUGGCUCAGGCGAUACCCACCUAUGUUAUGAGUGUGUUCAGACUACCUGCCUCAGAGUGUGAUGAUCUAACCAAGAUGAUGCGGCAGUAUUGGUGGGGGUGGAAAAUGCCAAGAGGAAGAUGGCAUGGCUAA